RNAcentral lists this transfer RNA (57 nucleotides) under Demodex brevis. RNAcentral describes it as "tRNA-Gln". Lineage: Eukaryota; Metazoa; Arthropoda; Arachnida; Trombidiformes; Demodicidae. The record is from RNAcentral.
AGUUUAUGAAGACUUAGGUCCUUUAACUUUUGUUUUUGGAUAAAUUUUGGAUUUAUU